This is a non-coding RNA of Phrynosoma platyrhinos (Desert horned lizard), 73 nucleotides long. The record is from the annotation of a GenBank genome assembly. NCBI's taxonomy places the organism in Eukaryota, Metazoa, Chordata, Lepidosauria, Squamata, Phrynosomatidae.
GUCCCAGUAUGCGUAGUGGUUUGAGUGUUGGACUAUGACUCUAAAGACCAAAGUUCAAUUCUCUGCUCGGCCA